This 497-nucleotide ribosomal RNA is filed under the name uncultured bacterium. Its description in RNAcentral is "partial 16S ribosomal RNA". It matches the Rfam family "Bacterial small subunit ribosomal RNA", at positions 28 to 507 of the family's 1533-position model. The record is from RNAcentral.
GAUGAACGCUGGCGGCGUGCCUAAUACAUGCAAGUCGAGCGAACGGAUGAGAAGCUUGCUUCUCUGAUGUUAGCGGCGGACGGGUGAGUAACACGUGGAUAACCUACCUAUAAGACUGGGAUAACUUCGGGAAACCGGAGCUAAUACCGGAUAAUAUUUUGAACCGCAUGGUCCAAAAGUGAAAGACGGUCUUGCUGUCACUUAUAGAUGGAUCCGCGCUGCAUUAGCUAGUUGGUAAGGUAACGGCUUACCAAGGCAACGAUGCAUAGCCGACCUGAGAGGGUGAUCGGCCACACUGGAACUGAGACACGGUCCAGACUCCUACGGGAGGCAGCAGUAGGGAAUCUUCCGCAAUGGGCGAAAGCCUGACGGAGCAACGCCGCGUGAGUGAUGAAGGUCUUCGGAUCGUAAAACUCUGUUAUUAGGGAAGAACAUAUGUGUAAGUAACUGUGCACAUCUUGACGGUACCUAAUCAGAAAGCCACGGCUAACUACGUG